UGAUAUUUCAACAGCGGGCACACACCCCCUCUUACCAAGGGUACUUCCCCAGCCUUCCCAGGGAAGCAACGAGUGCCUCCAGGCUCCCUGCUUGAUGCCACUCUCUGGACCUGCUUUGGGGGUCUAAAUGCAAGAGAGCCGUGUGUCGUGUGUUGGAUAACUAGCGAUGGAAGAAAAAAUCUCUAGGAGAACAGCUAUGAAAGCUGCUGAGAUCUGCCUGCAUCACCUUUGCCUCCCCAUCCCACACAGGAUAUAAGCACAUGAUCUUCGGUCUUUUAUUUGCAUACUCUACUAGUCCUGUCUUCAUUGGAGGGAAGUGACUGGCCAGACCUGGGCUGUCUUGCUGGCUGCCUUCCUUGCUGGGCUCCAACUUAUCUCCUAUGUACACAGCCCUUGGAGUUCAGAGGCCUCUGCUGACCUCUGUCCAACCUCUCCUCUGCACCCAAGCCCCCACUGGUACAUACAGGAGCAGAGGCAGACAAGGCAGGCAAUGACUAGGAGACAGGAGAGGGGCUGGAGACAGGCUGCUAGAGGGCUCAGAACCCCAGCACACCUCCCUGUCACAACUCUGUCCACCACCUGCUGUGACCACAGCAACAGAAGAGACAGCUAAUAAGACAAAGUGAGGCCCGGUACCUUGUGGACAGUGGUGUCAUUAGCUGCGACGCCUAAGAUGUCUCGAGAGAUGGGAGAACUCACCCAAACCAGAUUGCAGAAGAUCUGGAUUCCACACAACGGUGGCAACAGCAGGCUGCAACGCAGGAGGGGCUCAUCCAUACCCCAGUUUACAAAUUCCCCCACGAUGGUGAUAAUGGUGGGUUUACCAGCUCGAGGAAAGACCUACAUCUCCACGAAGCUCACACGAUAUCUCAACUGGAUAGGAACACCAACUAAAGGGCUCCUGCUUUCAGUGUUUAAUUUAGGCCAGUAUCGACGAGAGGCAGUGAGCUACAAGAACUACGAAUUCUUUCUCCCAGACAACAUGGAGGCCCUACUUAUCAGGAAGCAAUGUGCCCUAGCAGCCCUGAAAGAUGUCCAUAACUAUCUCAGCUGUGAGGAAGGUCAUGUUGCGGUUUUUGAUGCCACCAACACUACCAGAGAACGACGGUCACUGAUUCUGCAGUUUGCUAAAGAACAUGGUUACAAGGUCUUUUUCAUCGAGUCCAUUUGUAAUGACCCUGACGUCAUUGCAGAAAACAUCAGGCAAGUGAAACUUGGCAGCCCUGAUUACAUAGACUGUGACCAUGAAAAGGUUCUGGAAGACUUUCUAAAGAGAAUCGAGUGCUAUGAGGUCAACUACCAACCCUUGGAUGAUGAACUAGACAGCCACCUGUCCUACAUCAAGAUCUUCGACGUGGGCACACGCUACAUGGUGAACCGAGUGCAGGACCACAUCCAGAGCCGCACAGUCUACUAUCUCAUGAACAUCCACGUCACACCCCGCUCCAUCUACCUAUGCCGGCACGGUGAGAGUGAACUCAACCUCAGAGGCCGCAUCGGAGGUGACUCUGGCCUCUCAGCUCGGGGCAAGCAGUAUGCCUAUGCCCUGGCCAACUUCAUUCAGUCCCAGGGCAUCAGCUCCCUGAAGGUGUGGACCAGCCACAUGAAGAGGACUAUCCAGACAGCUGAAGCCCUGGGUGUUCCCUAUGAGCAGUGGAAGGCCCUGAAUGAGAUUGAUGCGGGUGUCUGUGAGGAGAUGACCUACGAAGAAAUCCAAGAACACUACCCUGAAGAAUUUGCACUACGAGACCAAGAUAAAUAUCGCUACCGCUAUCCCAAGGGAGAGUCCUAUGAGGAUCUGGUCCAGCGUCUGGAGCCAGUUAUAAUGGAGCUAGAACGGCAGGAAAAUGUAUUGGUGAUCUGCCACCAGGCUGUCAUGCGGUGCCUCCUGGCCUACUUCCUGGACAAGAGCUCAGAUGAGCUGCCGUAUCUCAGGUGCCCUCUGCACACAGUGCUCAAACUUACACCUGUGGCUUACGGCUGCAAAGUGGAGUCCAUCUACCUGAACGUGGAGGCUGUAAACACACAUCGGGAGAAGCCUGAGACCCCUCAGCUCCAAAAGAAUUCUAGGCACGGCCCCACUGAUGUUCCUGCCCUUCAACCCUCAUGAUUCACCCAUACCAGGAAGCCCUCCCUUGAGAACCACUCUACCAAGGUCAAUAGGAAGAGACAAGCAACAACAGGGAAGCUUCUGGAGAUACAGAAAACUUGACAGUAGGAAUGACCUGCCUCAGGCUUCUACAACCUCCAGUCAAUCAUAAUCAGGCACCACUACUAUGUAUUGACUCGAAACAUCUGCCAAGUAGAAGAAUAGCCUGUGAGGUCACAAAAUUCAGCCUAGGCAGUGAAAUAAUGCAUGUAAAGCACUUAACUAACACAGCAAACAGGUAUUUCACCAACUUAUUUGCCUGGGAGAAGAGGAAUACAUGGGGACAUCUCAAUAUGUUUUCAUAAAACUUGGAAGAAUGACA
Molecule: RNA transcript, 2471 nt
Organism: Balaenoptera musculus (blue whale)
Lineage: Eukaryota; Metazoa; Chordata; Mammalia; Artiodactyla; Balaenopteridae
Gene: PFKFB1
Gene name: 6-phosphofructo-2-kinase/fructose-2,6-biphosphatase 1
Exons: 17
Source: RefSeq, a predicted model, not a curated record